GAAAUGCGAUAAGUAAUGUGAAUUGCAGAAUUCAGUGAACCAUCGAAUCUUUGAACGCAUAUUGCGCCCCCUGGUAUUCCUUGGAGCAUGCCUGUUUGAGUAUCAUGAAAUCUUCAAAGUAAAUCUUUUGUUAACUCAAUUGGUUUCUACUUUGGUAUUGGAGGUCUUUGCAGCUUCACACCUGCUCCUCUUUGUUCAUUAGCUGGAUCUCAGUGUUAUGCUUGGUUCCACUCGGCGUGAUAAGUUAUCUAUCGCUGAGGACACUGUAAAAGGUGGCCAAGGUAAAUGCAGAUGAACCGCUUCUAAUAGUCCAUUGACUUGGACAAUACUUUUAUGAUCUGAUCUCAAAUCAGGUAGGACUACCCGCUGAACUUAAGC
Molecule: unclassified non-coding RNA, 378 nt
Filed under: plant metagenome
Description: partial contains 5.8S ribosomal RNA, internal transcribed spacer 2, and large subunit ribosomal RNA
Rfam family: 5.8S ribosomal RNA (bases 1-105)
Source: RNAcentral